UACUUAUUACUGGUAGUGAGUCUCUAAGAAAAGAGGAGGUAGUUGUUUUCCUUCUCUUUUCUUUGAGACUCACUACCAAUAAUAAGAAAUACUACUA
Molecule: microRNA precursor, 97 nt
Organism: Gorilla gorilla gorilla (western lowland gorilla)
Lineage: Eukaryota; Metazoa; Chordata; Mammalia; Primates; Hominidae
Source: Ensembl